RNAcentral lists this ribosomal RNA (465 nucleotides) under uncultured Haemophilus sp. Its description in RNAcentral is "bacterial SSU rRNA". It matches the Rfam family "Bacterial small subunit ribosomal RNA", at positions 338 to 795 of the family's 1533-position model. The record is from RNAcentral. Lineage: Bacteria; Pseudomonadati; Pseudomonadota; Gammaproteobacteria; Pasteurellales; Pasteurellaceae.
CCUACGGGUGGCAGCAGUGGGGAAUAUUGCGCAAUGGGGGCAACCCUGACGCAGCCAUGCCGCGUGAAUGAAGAAGGCCUUCGGGUUGUAAAGUUCUUUCGGUAGCGAGGAAGGCAUUUAGUUUAAUAGACUAGGUGAUUGACGUUAACUACAGAAGAAGCACCGGCUAACUCCGUGCCAGCAGCCGCGGUAAUACGGAGGGUGCGAGCGUUAAUCGGAAUAACUGGGCGUAAAGGGCACGCAGGCGGUGACUUAAGUGAGGUGGGAAAGCCCCGGGCUUAACCUGGGAAUUGCAUUUCAUACUGGGUCGCUAGAGUACUUUAGGGAGGGGUAGAAUUCCACGUGUAGCGGUGAAAUGCGUAGAGAUGUGGAGGAAUACCGAAGGCGAAGGCAGCCCCUUGGGAAUGUACUGACGCUCAUGUGCGAAAGCGUGGGGAGCAAACAGGAUUAGAUACCCUUGUAGUC